GGGGAUUUAGCUCAGUGGUAGAGCACUUGCUUAGCAAGCGCAAGGCCCUGGGUUCAGUCCUCA
Non-coding RNA from Rattus norvegicus (Norway rat), 63 nucleotides. NCBI's taxonomy places the organism in Eukaryota, Metazoa, Chordata, Mammalia, Rodentia, Muridae. The record is from Rfam.